GUGGAUAUAGUUUGAACUAAAAUACUAGAUUGUGAUUCUAGAGAAAGAGGUUAAAACCCCCUUGUCUACC
Molecule: transfer RNA, 70 nt
Filed under: Gambusia holbrooki (eastern mosquitofish)
Lineage: Eukaryota; Metazoa; Chordata; Actinopteri; Cyprinodontiformes; Poeciliidae
Description: tRNA-His
Rfam family: tRNA
About the family: Transfer RNA (tRNA) molecules are approximately 80 nucleotides in length. Their secondary structure includes four short double-helical elements and three loops (D, anti-codon, and T loops). Further hydrogen bonds mediate the characteristic L-shaped molecular structure. tRNAs have two regions of fundamental functional importance: the anti-codon, which is responsible for specific mRNA codon recognition, and the 3' end, to which the tRNAs corresponding amino acid is attached (by aminoacyl-tRNA synthetases). tRNAs cope with the degeneracy of the genetic code in two manners: having more than one tRNA (with a specific anti-codon) for a particular amino acid; and 'wobble' base-pairing, i.e. permitting non-standard base-pairing at the 3rd anti-codon position.
Source: RNAcentral